This 475-nucleotide ribosomal RNA is filed under the name uncultured bacterium. RNAcentral's name for it is "bacterial SSU rRNA". It matches the Rfam family "Bacterial small subunit ribosomal RNA", at positions 33 to 507 of the family's 1533-position model. The record is from RNAcentral.
ACGCCGGCGGCGUGCCUAACACAUGCAAGUCAACUUGACUGAAGGAGCAAUCUGACAGUAGAGUGGCGCAAGGGUGCGUAACGCGUAAGUAACUUGCCCCAAGGUAAGGAAUAACGUCGAGAAAUCGGCGCUAAUACCUCAUAAUGCAGCGGAUCCGCAUGGAUAUGUUGUUAAAGGUUUACCGCCUUAGGAUAGGCUUGCGUCUGAUUAGUUAGUUGGUGUGGUAACGGCACACCAAGGCUACGAUCAGUAACUGGUCUGAGAGGAUGAUCAGUCACACUGGAACUGAGACACGGUCCAGACUCCUACGGGAGGCAGCAGUGAGGAAUAUUGGGCAAUGCUCGAAAGAGUGACCCAGCAACGCCGCGUGGAGGAUGAAGGUAUUCUAUAUCGUAAACUCCUGUGAGAGCAGACGAAAGACAGAUUAUUAAUCUGGAUGACUGUAUGCUCAGAGGAAGCCCCGGCUAACUACGUG